CAGUCGAGCGAGCGGAACCACAGAUUUACUUCGGUAAUGACGUUGGGAAAGCGAGCGGCGGAUGGGUGAGUAACACGUGGGGAACCUGCCCCUAAGUCUGGGAUACCAUUUGGAAACAGGUGCUAAUACCGGAUAAUAAAGCGGAUCGCAUGAUCAGCUUUUGAAAGGCGGCGUAAGCUGUCGCUAAGGGAUGGCCCCGCGGUGCAUUAGCUAGUUGGUAAGGUAACGGCUUACCAAGGCGACGAUGCAUAGCCGAGUUGAGAGACUGAUCGGCCACAUUGGGACUGAGACACGGCCCAAACUCCUAUGGGAGGCAGCAGUAGGGAAUCUUCCACAAUGGACGCAAGUCUGAUGGAGCAACGCCGCGUGAGUGAAGAAGGUUUUCGGAUCGUAAAGCUCUGUUGUUGGUGAAGAAGGAUAGAGGUAGUAACUGGCCUUUAUUUGACGGUAAUCAACCAGAAAGUCACGGCUAACUACGUGCCAGCAGCCGCGGUAAUACGUAGGUGGCAAGCGUUGUCCGGAUUUAUUGGGCGUAAAGCGAGCGCAGGCGGAAAAAUAAGUCUAAUGUGAAAGCCCUCGGCUUAACCGAGGAACUGCAUCGGAAACUGUUUUUCUUGAGUGCAGAAGAGGAGAGUGGAACUCCAUGUGCAGCGGUGGAAUGCGUAGAUAUAUGGAAGAACACCAGUGGCGAAGGCGGCUCUCUGGUCUGCAACUGACGCUGAGGCUCGAAAGCAUGGGUAGCGAACAGGAUUAGAUACCCUGGUAGUCCAUGCCGUAAACGAUGAGUGCUAAGUGUUGGGAGGUUUCCGCCUCUCAGUGCUGC
Molecule: ribosomal RNA, 823 nt
Filed under: uncultured bacterium
Lineage: Bacteria
Description: bacterial SSU rRNA
Rfam family: Bacterial small subunit ribosomal RNA
Source: RNAcentral